GACGAACGCUGGCGGCGUGCUUAACACAUGCAAGUCGAACGGAAAGGCCCUGCUUUUGUGGGGUGCUCGAGUGGCGAACGGGUGAGUAACACGUGAGUAACCUGCCCUUGACUUUGGGAUAACUUCAGGAAACUGGGGCUAAUACCGGAUAGGAGCUCCUGCUGCAUGGUGGGGGUUGGAAAGUUUCGGCGGUUGGGGAUGGACUCGCGGCUUAUCAGCUUGUUGGUGGGGUAGUGGCUUACCAAGGCUUUGACGGGUAGCCGGCCUGGGAGGGUGACCGGCCACAUUGGACCUGAGUUACGGCCCAGACUCCUACGGGAGGCAGCAGUGGGGAAUAUUGCACAAUGGGCGGAAGCCUGAUGCAGCAACGCCGCGUGCGGGAUGACGGCCUUCGGGUUGUAAACCGCUUUCGCCUGUGACGAAGCGUGAGUGACGGUAAUGGGUAAAGAAGCACCGGCUAACUACGUG
This 468-nucleotide ribosomal RNA is filed under the name uncultured bacterium. RNAcentral describes it as "partial 16S ribosomal RNA". It matches the Rfam family "Bacterial small subunit ribosomal RNA", at positions 28 to 507 of the family's 1533-position model. The record is from RNAcentral.